This 440-nucleotide ribosomal RNA is filed under the name Trioceros werneri. RNAcentral's name for it is "partial 12S ribosomal RNA". It matches the Rfam family "Bacterial small subunit ribosomal RNA", at positions 753 to 1414 of the family's 1533-position model. Lineage: Eukaryota; Metazoa; Chordata; Lepidosauria; Squamata; Chamaeleonidae. The record is from RNAcentral.
UAAAAAGCUUCAAACUGGGAUUAGAUACCCCACUAUGCCCAGCCAUAAACACUGAUAUUAUUUGAUCCGCCAGAGGACAACGAGCAAAGCUUAAAACCCAAAGGACUUGGCGGCGUUCCACACCACCCUAGAGGGGCCUGUCACAUAAUCGAUAACCCACGAUAAACCUCACCAUUUUUAGCCCACAUCAGCCUAUAUACCGCCGUCGCCAGCUCAUCUUGAAAAAGAAACAAAAUGGGCCCAAUAGUCUUUACACUAACACGACAGGUCAAGGUGUAACUAAUAAAAUGGCAAACGAUGGACCACAUUGCUCUCCAGCUAAACCAAAAUUGCACUGAAACACACACUUUAAGAUGAAUUUAACAGUAAGACAGACAAGAAAAUCUGCCUAAAGACUGCUCUGGAACGUGCACACACCGCCCGUCACCCUCUGCAGUCAA